This 480-nucleotide ribosomal RNA is filed under the name uncultured bacterium. RNAcentral describes it as "bacterial SSU rRNA". It matches the Rfam family "Bacterial small subunit ribosomal RNA", at positions 271 to 770 of the family's 1533-position model. The record is from RNAcentral.
AGGCGACGAUCCAUAGCUGGUCUGAGAGGAUGAUCAGCCACAUUGGGACUGAGACACGGCCAAACUCCUACGGGAGGCAGCAGUGGGGAAUAUUGGACAAUGGGCGCAAGCCUGAUCCAUCCAUGCCGCGUGAGUGAUGAAGGCCUUAGGGUUGUAAAGCUCUUUCACCGAUGAAGAUAAUGACGGUAGUCGGAGAAGAAGCCCCGGCUAACUUCGUGCCAGCAGCCGCGGUAAUACGAAGGGGGCUAGCGUUGUUCGGAAUUACUGGGCGUAAAGCGCACGUAGGCGGAUAUUUAAGUCAGGGGUGAAAUCCCAGAGCUCAACCCUGGAACUGCCUUUGAUACUGGGUAUCUUGAGUAUGGAAGAGGUAAGUGGAAUUCCGAGUGUAGAGGUGAAAUUCGUAGAUAUUCGGAGGAACACCAGUGGCGAAGGCGGCUUACUGUCCAUUACUGACGCUGAGGUGCGAAAGCGUGGGGAGCA